This 253-nucleotide ribosomal RNA is filed under the name uncultured bacterium. RNAcentral describes it as "partial 16S ribosomal RNA". It matches the Rfam family "Bacterial small subunit ribosomal RNA", at positions 524 to 776 of the family's 1533-position model. The record is from RNAcentral.
UACGUAGGGGGCAAGCGUUGUCCGGAAUCAUUGGGCGUAAAGAGCGUGUAGGCGGCCAGGUAGGUCUGCUGUGAAAACUCGAGGCUCAACCUCGAGAUGUCGGCGGAAACCAUCUGGCUAGAGUCCGGAAGAGGAGAGUAGAAUUCCUGGUGUAGCGGUGAAAUGCGCAGAUAUCGAGAGGAACACCUGCGGCGAAGGCGGGUUGCUGGGCCGACACUGACGCUGAGGCGCGAAAGCCAGGGGAGCGAACGGG